UACCCACUCCCGGCACGGGGAGGUAGUGACGAAAAAUAACAAUACGGGACUCUUUUGAGACCCCGUAAUUGGAAUGAGUACACUCUAAAUCCUUUAACGAGGAUCUAUUGGAGGGCAAGUCUGGUGUCAGCAGCCGCGGUAACUCCAGCUCCAAUAGCGUAUAUUAAAGUUGUUGCGGUUAAAAAGCUCGUAGUUGGAUCUCAGUUCCAGACGGGCGGUCCGCCUCACGGCGGUUACUGCCUGGCCUGAACAACCAGCCGGUUUCCCUAGAUGAUCUUCACCGGUUGUCUUGGGUGACCGGCACGUUUACUUUGAAAAAAUUAGAGUGCUCAAAGCAGGCGCGACGCCUGAAUAAUGGUGCAUGGAAUAAUGGAAUAGGACCUCGGUUCUAUUUUGUUGGUCUUCGGAACACGAGGUAAUGAUUAAGAGGGACAGACGGGGGCAUUCGUAUUGCGACGCUAGAGGUGAAAUUCUUGGACCGUCGCAAGACGAACUACUGCGAAAGCAUUUGCCAAGAAUGUCUUCGUUAAUCAAGAACGAAAGUUAGAGGUUCGAAGGCGAUCAGAUACCGCCCUAGUUCUAACCAUAAACGAUGCCAACCAGCGAUCCGCCUGAGUUCCUCAAAUGACUCGGCGGGCAGCUUCCGGGAAACCAAAGUGUUUGGGUUCCGGGGGAAGUAUGGUUGCAAAGCUGAAACUUAAAGGAAUUGACGGAAGGGCACCACCAGGAGUGGAGCCUGCGGCUUAAUUUGACUCAACACGGGAAAACUUACCCGGCCCGGACACUGGAAGGAUUGACAGAUUAAGAGCUCUUUCUUGAUUCAGUGGGUGGUGGUGCAUGGCCGUUCUUAGUUGGUGGAGCGAUUUGUCUGGUUAAUUCCGAUAACGAACGAGACUCUAGCCUACUAAAUAGGCGUUCCGAUCGUUUCAGUCGGACGUUCUUCUUAGAGGGACAAGCGGCGUUUAGCCGCACGAGACAGAGCAAUAACAGGUCUGUGAUGCCCUUAGAUGUCCGGGGCCGCACGCGCGCUACACUGAAGGAAUCAGCGUGUGCUUUCCCUGUCCGGUAGGACUGGGUAACCCGAUGAACCUCCUUCGUGAUAGGGAUAGGGGCUUGUAAUUGUUCCCCUUGAACGAGGAAUUCCCAGUAAGCACGAGUCAUAAGCUCGUGUUGAUUACGUCCCUGCCCUUUGUACACACCGCCCGUCGCUACUACCGAUUGAAUGAUUUAGUGAGGUCUUCGGACUGGCGCUCGGCUGCGGCCUCCGUUGCGCCGUCGUGCCGGAAAGAUGACCGAACUUGAUCAUUUAGAGGAAGUAAA
This 1320-nucleotide ribosomal RNA is filed under the name Antilloides haitises. RNAcentral's name for it is "SSU rRNA". It matches the Rfam family "Eukaryotic small subunit ribosomal RNA", at positions 442 to 1786 of the family's 1831-position model. Lineage: Eukaryota; Metazoa; Arthropoda; Arachnida; Araneae; Filistatidae. The record is from RNAcentral.